This is a long non-coding RNA of Passer domesticus (house sparrow), 3454 nucleotides long. RefSeq lists it as uncharacterized. The transcript has 2 exons. NCBI's taxonomy places the organism in Eukaryota, Metazoa, Chordata, Aves, Passeriformes, Passeridae. The record is from RefSeq and is a predicted model, not a curated record.
GGGACAGCGGGGAACGGGCGGCGCUGGGGACCGGCCGUGAGGGGUGACCGUGCAUUUCUUGGCACAGGCCCCUGAGGUCACUGUGACUGUCCUGCUCUGAAUCACAUCGUCCUGUGCCAGGAGCACCUUCCUUCUCCAUUGCUGCCAGUCCUGGUUCUGAGUCCAGUUCUGCACUUAGGAAGAACUGCAGAGCUUAGAGGUACCCAGGAGCCCAGGGAGCCCAUUUCUCCAAGAUGGCAAGCACCAGCCUCAGGUGGGCCACAGCUUUUCCUCAUGCACAUCCAAGAACCCUUUGGGAAUGCCAAGGAGCAGUGAGUGCUCUGCUGGGCUGUGCCCCUCAGGCUGCAGGACACAACUUGCCACCCUCAUUUCCUGCUUGUUUCUCCAGUACCACUCAUCACUUGAUUUAGUAUUUGCUGUCACUGACAUUGCCCUUCAGGAGCUGAGGGGCUACAAGAUAAAUCUGCCCAUUAAAAUCCUGACUGACAAAACCCAGUAAGGACUGCCUUUGGAAUAUUCCCCUCUCCCCCAGCCCCACUGCUGGUUUAGCAUGCUCACGUGCACAUCCAGUACCUGCUUCUCUCUUGCAAUUUCCUCCUGAAUCAGAGUAACAGCAUCACCUUUAAAGGAAAAAACCAAACAAGGCAGAAUGUGACUUGUGCCAUGGCUCAGAAAUAAUGUCACAGGCUCUGGGGGCACAGACACUGGAGUGGCUCUCGCUUUACCUGAGGGGCUCAUUACAGGUAAAGGCUGCUCGUUGUUUUCCUUGAGUUUUUGCUCCAAGUCCUUCACCUUUUCCUCAAGUUUCAGUUUGUCAGACUCCAGUGACUUCACCACUGACUGCAGGGUUUUUGCAGAAGCGUUUUCUCCGCGGAGCACCGUGAUCUGCAAGAGUUGUGUGACAACACUUGGACCUUCCAGCACCAAGGCCAGGGCCCUGGAAGCAAGGGCUGAACAGCCACCAAAACCACGUGCCAGAGUCACCCGGCUCAGCAGAGGGACCUGAAGAUUUGAUGCUAAGGUUUAACCAUGCCACAUGAAAGAAAAAUGAUCAGCCAGCUCUUCAGGAGCCAGCACACAAAGCCUCUGGCUGCAAUUUAACUGAAAUUAGCAAUCAUCCAUUCCUCAUUUACCUCAUGCCUGAGUUUUUCCAGUUCCUCAUCUUUUUGUGUGAUCAAGGCACUAGUAACAUUGAUGGAUUUCUGUAAAGAUGCUCUCUCUUCAUCAAUUUCUUUUUUUAAAGUUGAUUCUCUAAAAGAAAACCAAGUAAAACCAGAAGUCAUUUAAUGAAUGGGUAACUGUAGUGGCCUAAAGUAGUUUCAUUUAAUUUCAAGUAUUAAACUACUGUAAGAAGUGGUUCUUAAAAAACAAAUUACAAUUUACUACUUGACUAAGGUUUUAUAUAUGUACAAGCAUUUCAGGUGUUACAACUGUGGAAACAAAGCAAAAACUUUACCUAGGUGGUACAUGCCAGAAUCUGCAAAGCACCGUUUCCAUUUGAAUUUAAAGGAGCAAGUUAACAGACUGGGGAGAUACAGGAUAAACAAACAUGUUGCACAAUGUUCCACAAAACCUAACUUGAGAGUUUUGUUACUUCUUGAAAAUUACUAACAAGCAACAAAACAGGCAUGCAAAGCUCAUUGUACAAGUUGUCAUGCAAAGCAUGGAUGAGGCUGGAAAUAUCAGCUGGUCCUCACUAAUUUCAGUGACAUCAUCAUUUCCUGCACCACAUGGGAUUUGUUUUACUUCAUGGGAGAAGAGUUAAAAAGAAAUCCUCCAAAGCAGGCACAACUCUCUCCUGUGUACAUAGAUCCAGUUUUCCCAGUAUUUUCUGUGGAUGUAACAGAGAUACAACUCCUGCCUACAGCUCCUGCCUUGGGGCACCACUGCUGUGACACCCUCACACUGCUGCAAGCUGAUCUUCCUGACAGUCACAGAACACACAGUGAGUGACUGUCCUCUGGUGGGAGGAGCAUUGCUACAACUUCCCUUACAAGCUGAAAAAUUUUGGUUAAAAAAGGAAACAGAAAAGUGACUUCAAACCAUUUACUUUUCUCCAAGAGGAACUGGCUCCUCAGUGCAGGCAGCAGUGCUGCUAUCAGCUCUGAGCUCCUGCAGGGACUCUGAACUGCUCCACACUCCCCUGCACUGCUGGGGGAUCAGGAGCAGAGCCCACCCACGUGGGAGGAUGCUCAGGGGGCAGCUAUCGAGCUCAAAUGGCAAAGUUUCCAUCUCUGUGGUACCUACAGUUAGUGAGAGCCACGAUACCCAGACCAUGAAACACAGGAAAUCUCACCCACUCCAGAGAAACUCAACAAUGAGAGCACAAUCAAUGCAAUUCUUUCAUUGUUCAGAUUGUACUCGGGAAUGGAAGCAGCAAGUGGAGAAUCUGGGGUUCAGAAAAGCUGAGGCAGCUACCAAACAAGAACCAAAACUUGAUUUGGUUUUGGUAUAUUUUCACAAUGAGAGAAUCAACAGAAGUGGAAACACAACAAGCUGCAGACUGUGUGAUCUUGCCUUCAAAUACAAGUUACAGUCUUGUUAAUAAAACCCAAAAGGACACAGGCAUGGAAAGUCCCCCUGGCCAGCCCCGAGCCAGCAAAGCACUCAAAGCUCCACAGCCACCCCCGUGCCCCCCAGGGCUCCCCAGGCUCUGCCUCUCCUGUGCUUUGGACCAAAGGCACGUGCUGGUGUGGGAAAGGAUGUGCCACAGUGCACGGGGUGCUGCUGACAGAGCAGAGCUGCAGAUCCAGGAUCUGCUGGGAGGCAAACCCUGAGGACACCUGGGAAUCACAGCUGGGAGCUGCUGCUCACCAGCCCCGCUGCACUGCGCUGCCGUGCUGUGCCCGCAGCUGGGGAAGGGCAGAUGGAACAGUGACUCAGCCCACGCUAGGAGCUGUGAUCCACUCGGUCAGAUCUUCAUGGAGAGAUCAGGACCAAACAGAUGCUUUUGGCACAAAUAUGGUGGGUUUGCCUUUUGUCGGGCUUGGCUUCAACCAGCACAACGCUGAGGUGGUUGAAAAGGCAAACGGGUUGUAAGGAUAGAAAUAAAAUAUUUACAGACUCAGUACAGGAGCCUCGAGUGCUAAAACACAAGGGGAGAGAAAGGAGAGAAGAAAAGAGGACAGAAAACAAGAGGGGAAGAAGGUCCCUGUGCUGGAGCUUUGGGGUUUCUUUCCCUGGACAGUCUCUCCAGGAGCUGCUCCCAGAAAUGCUGGAGCUGGAGAAGCCAGAGCCAAGGAAGGAGCUGCUCCUCGGUGUGGAUCACACACAGGGAAUGGGAAAUAACUGCACUGGGAGAGCCUGCAAGGAAAAUCUUGUGGAAACUAUUUAUUUUAUGUGGAAAAAAAAAGAUUUAGUGAACUUAAACUCUCUUCCUGCCAAUUCAAGUUCAAAACAUCUGCUUACCAGCAGGGGGGAAAUCAAAACAAUAAAAAUGACUUUUUCAUUUAAA